UCAACUGUCGAUGGUAGGUUAUAUGCUUACCAUGGUUGUAACGGGUAACGGGGAAUCAGGGUUCGAUUCCGGAGAGGGAGCCUGAGAAACGGCUACCACAUCCAAGGAAGGCAGCAGGCACGCAAAUUACCCACUCCCGGCACGGGGAGGUAGUGACGAAAAAUAACAAUACGGGACUCUUAUGAGGCCCCGUAAUUGGAAUGAGUACAAUCUAAAUCCUUUAACGAGGAUCUAUUGGAGGGCAAGUCUGGUGCCAGCAGCCGCGGUAAUUCCAGCUCCAAUAGCGUAUAUUAAAGUUGUUGCGGUUAAAAAGCUCGUAGUUGGAUCUCAGCUCACGCUAGGUGGUCCACCUAAUGGUGGUUACUACUUAGCUGAGCAUUGGACAGAUUCGUCUUCUGAUGCUCUUCACCGAGUGUCAGAAGUGGUCUGUACGUUUACUUUGAAAAAAUUAGAGUGCUUAAAGCAGGCAUCUCGCCCGAAUAAUCUUGCAUGGAAUAAUGGAAUAGGACUUCGGUUCUAUUUUGUUGGUCUCCGGAAUCUGAAGUAAUGAUUAAGAGGGACAG
Molecule: ribosomal RNA, 563 nt
Filed under: Schoutedenichia microcebi
Lineage: Eukaryota; Metazoa; Arthropoda; Arachnida; Trombidiformes; Trombiculidae
Description: SSU rRNA
Rfam family: Eukaryotic small subunit ribosomal RNA
Source: RNAcentral